RNAcentral lists this small RNA (615 nucleotides) under Pongo abelii (Sumatran orangutan). RNAcentral's name for it is "processed transcript". Lineage: Eukaryota; Metazoa; Chordata; Mammalia; Primates; Hominidae. The record is from RNAcentral.
AGUUAAUAAACCUCCAGUUUGGGGAUAUGUACAUGGGCAAGCAGGACCUGGCCAUGCGCUGAUUGAGCAGUGGAAUCCUGUAGGCCUGGUUGGAAUCAUCACAGCAUUCAAUUUCCCUGUGGCAGUGUAUGGUUGGAACAAUGCCAUUGCCAUGAUCUGUGGAAAUGUCUGCCUCUGGAAAGGAGCUCCAACCACUUCCCUCAUUAGUGUGGCUGUCACAAAGAUAAUAGCCAAGGUUCUGGAGGACAACAAGCUGCCUGGUGCAAUUUGUUCCUUGACUUGUGGUGGAGCAGAUAUUGGCACAGCAAUGGCCAAAGAUGAACGAGUGAACCUGCUGUCCUUCACCGGGAGCACUCAGGUGGGAAAACAGGUGGCCCUGAUGGUGCAGGAAAGGUUUGAGCAAUGGAAAUGAGAAGAUACUCUGCUGUUGUCACAUAUGCUCCUGAUAUCACAGAUGAAUAAAAGUUAUUCACAUGGAAGCUGAUUUUAAAAUGCACUUAAGGAAAUUGAUGAUCAAAAGAUCAGUAAUAAAUGUAUGUCUAAGGCCAGGCGCAGUGGCUCACGCCUGUAAUCCUAGCACUUUGGGAGGCCAAGGUGGGUGAAUUGCCUGAGCUC